ACUUAAAUAGUUUAACUAAAAUUUUGAUUUGUGGUAUCAAAGAUAUAAUAUUUAUUUUAAGUC
This 63-nucleotide transfer RNA is filed under the name Torleya nepalica. RNAcentral describes it as "tRNA-His". The record is from RNAcentral. Lineage: Eukaryota; Metazoa; Arthropoda; Insecta; Ephemeroptera; Ephemerellidae.